AUGCAAGUCGUACGAGAGCUUUUAGCUCUAGUGGCGGACGGGUGAGUAACACGUGAGAAUCUGCCCUUAGGAGGAGGAUAACAGCUGGAAACGGUUGCUAAUACUCCAUAUGCCGAGAGGUGAAAGGAUUUAUCCACUUAAGGAGGAGCUCGCGUCUGAUUAGCUAGUUGGUAGGGUAAUAGCCUACCAAGGCGACGAUCAGUAGCUGGUCUGAGAGGAUGAUCAGCCACACUGGGACUGAGACACGGCCCAGACUCC
RNAcentral lists this ribosomal RNA (258 nucleotides) under uncultured bacterium. RNAcentral describes it as "partial 16S ribosomal RNA". It matches the Rfam family "Bacterial small subunit ribosomal RNA", at positions 55 to 339 of the family's 1533-position model. The record is from RNAcentral.